Solanum dulcamara is the source of this 160-nucleotide small nuclear RNA. RefSeq annotates it as U1 spliceosomal RNA. The transcript has a single exon. Lineage: Eukaryota; Viridiplantae; Streptophyta; Magnoliopsida; Solanales; Solanaceae. The record is from RefSeq and is a predicted model, not a curated record.
AUACUUACCUGGAUGGGGUCAAUGAGCGAUCAAUAAGACUCAUGGCCUAGGUUGGUGACUUUCAUUGCACUCUGAAGGGGUGCCCACCUAAGGUUGGCCUAAUUGGUCGAGCCUAUGUCAUAAUUUGUGACAGUGGGGCUUGCGUUCGCGCGGCCCCUGU